RNAcentral lists this ribosomal RNA (232 nucleotides) under uncultured bacterium. RNAcentral describes it as "partial 16S ribosomal RNA". It matches the Rfam family "Bacterial small subunit ribosomal RNA", at positions 99 to 334 of the family's 1533-position model. The record is from RNAcentral.
CGGACGGGUGAAUAAUGUCUGGGAAACUGCCCGAUGGAGGGGGAUAACUACUGGAAACGGUAGCUAAUACCGCAUAACGUCGCAAGACCAAAGAGGGGGACCUUCGGGCCUCUUGCCAUCGGAUGUGCCCAGAUGGGAUUAGCUAGUAGGUGGGGUAACGGCUCACCUAGGCGACGAUCCCUAGCUGGUCUGAGAGGAUGACCAGCCACACUGGAACUGAGACACGGUCCAG